Molecule: long non-coding RNA, 202 nt
Filed under: Lathyrus oleraceus (garden pea)
Lineage: Eukaryota; Viridiplantae; Streptophyta; Magnoliopsida; Fabales; Fabaceae
Description: Pisum sativum (pea) long non-coding RNA (PSAT_LNC039749)
Source: RNAcentral
AGGAAAUAUUGGAGGAUAAUAUUGAUGGUGAAGUGGGGGAGUGGAGUGAGGAAGAAAGUGAAAAGAAUAAAAAGAAUGGUGAAGUUGAAAAGAAAGAAAGUGUGGAAAUUGAGAAAAAUAAGAGUGAUGAAGUAAUGGGGGAGGAAGUGAAAAAGAAAAGAGCGAGAAGUUCUAGAGUUGCUAAAGGAAAGGAGGUAGUGAG